AUGUGGUUUAAUUCGAAGCAACGCGAAGAACCUUACCAGGCCUUGACAUGCAGAGAACUUUCCAGAGAUGGAUUGGUGCCUUCGGGAACUCUGACACAGGUGCUGCAUGGCUGUCGUCAGCUCGUGUCGUGAGAUGUUGGGUUAAGUCCGUAACGAGCGCAACCCUUGUCCUUAGUUACCAGCACGUUAUGGUGGGCACUCUAAGGAGACUGCCGGUGACAAACCGGAGGAAGGUGGGGAUGACGUCGAGUCAUCAUGGCCCUUACGGCCUGGGCUACACACGUGCUACAAUGGUCGGUACAAAGGGUUGCCAAGCCGCGAGGUGGAGCUAAUCCCAUAAAACCGAUCGUAGUCCGGAUCGCAGUCUGCAACUCGACUGCGUGAAGUCGGAAUCGCUAGUAAUCGUGAAUCAGAAUGUCACGGUGAAUACGUUCCCGGGCCUU
Molecule: ribosomal RNA, 443 nt
Filed under: uncultured Pseudomonas sp.
Lineage: Bacteria; Pseudomonadati; Pseudomonadota; Gammaproteobacteria; Pseudomonadales; Pseudomonadaceae
Description: bacterial SSU rRNA
Rfam family: Bacterial small subunit ribosomal RNA
Source: RNAcentral